UUGAACAUGCAUUGGCUGCAAAUAGUAGCCUCCUCAGUAGUGUAUGCAGCCUGUUGCUUGUAUAGGUUGCUCUAAGGGACCUUGGAGACAUUC
This is a small nucleolar RNA of Otolemur garnettii (small-eared galago), 93 nucleotides long. Its record names the gene SNORA70. It matches the Rfam family "Small nucleolar RNA SNORA70". From Rfam's summary of the family: snoRNA U70 seems to be exclusive to mammals and is a member of the H/ACA class of snoRNA which contain H (ANANNA) and ACA box motifs. H/ACA box snoRNAs are involved in the conversion of uridines to pseudouridines (5-ribosyluracil) a constituent of structural RNAs (transfer, ribosomal, small nuclear, and small nucleolar). The record is from Ensembl. Lineage: Eukaryota; Metazoa; Chordata; Mammalia; Primates; Galagidae.